AUUGAACGCUGGCGGCAGGCCUAACACAUGCAAGUCGAACGGUAACAGGAAGCAGCUUGCUGCUUCGCUGACGAGUGGCGGACGGGUGAGUAAUGUCUGGGAAGCUGCCUGAUGGAGGGGGAUAACUACUGGAAACGGUAGCUAAUACCGCAUAAUGUCGCAAGACCAAAGAGGGGGACAUUCGGGCCUCUUGCCAUCGGAUGUGCCCAGAUGGGAUUAGCUUGUUGGUGGGGUAACGGCUCACCAAGGCGACGAUCCCUAGCUGGUCUGAGAGGAUGACCAGCCACACUGGAACUGAGACACGGUCCAGACUCCUACGGGAGGCAGCAGUGGGGAAUAUUGCACAAUGGGCGCAAGCCUGAUGCAGCCAUGCCGCGUGUAUGAAGAAGGCCUUCGGGUUGUAAAGUACUUUCAGCGGGGAGGAAGGGAGUAAAGUUAAUACCUUUGCUCAUUGACGUUACCCGCAGAAGAAGCACCGGCUAACUCCGUG
RNAcentral lists this ribosomal RNA (490 nucleotides) under uncultured bacterium. RNAcentral's name for it is "partial 16S ribosomal RNA". It matches the Rfam family "Bacterial small subunit ribosomal RNA", at positions 30 to 507 of the family's 1533-position model. The record is from RNAcentral.